RNAcentral lists this unclassified non-coding RNA (921 nucleotides) under Hevea brasiliensis (rubber tree). Lineage: Eukaryota; Viridiplantae; Streptophyta; Magnoliopsida; Malpighiales; Euphorbiaceae. The record is from RNAcentral.
UAAUUUUCUCUUCUUCAAUUGUAUCAGAAAAGAAGGAAAAUUGAAAUCUAUGGGAAAGAAAUCCUCUUCUUCCUCUUCCUCUGUUCUUCUAUCGAGCUCUAAGAACAAGAAUGGUUGGAUUCGCUCCAAUCGACUUGUUCUUCUUAUCGUUGGAUUCGUUUCUCUUACUUGCUUCCUUUUGGACCGCCAAUCUCUUGCACGAGACCACCAGGUGGAGGUUUCGAUGUUGAAUGAAGAAUUGGCAGAAUUACGCAGUCAGCUUGAGGAUUUAAGGACGCAACUCAAAGGUUCAGGGAUAGAGUUUCCCAUUAAUGAUAAGAAGCGGAAAAUGGAGGAGGAUGAUCCUAUUAGUUUUGAACGAAGAGAGAAAGUGAAAGAGGCUAUGCUUCAUGCUUGGACUUGCUAUGAGAAGUACGCAUGGGGUCAUGAUGACCCCCAGCCACAAACACGGAAUGGUAUUGAUAGCUUUGGUGGUCUUGGUGCAACUUUGAUAGACUCUCUUGAUACAUUAUUCAUAAUGGGUCUUCAUGAAGAGUUUCAAAGAGCUAGAGAGUGGGUUGCAAACUCGUUGGACUUCAACAAAAAUUACGAGGCUAGUGUCUUUGAGACAACCAUAAGAGUUGUAGGAGGGCUUCUUAGUGCGUACGACCUCUCUGGUGACAAAAUUUUUCUUGAAAAGGCUAGAGAUAUUGCAGAUAGGCUGCUGCCUGCAUGGAAUACACCUUCAGGAAUUCCUUAUAACACAAUCAACUUAGCGCAUGGGAAUCCGCACAACCCUAGGUGGACAGGGGGAAGUAGUAUCCUGGCAGAUUCUGCAACAGAGCAGCUGGAAUUUAUCGCCUUAUCUCAAAGGACAAAAGACCCCAAGUACCAGCAGAGGGUGGAGAAUGUUAUCAAAGAGCUUCACAAAAACUUUCCUGC